RNAcentral lists this long non-coding RNA (4523 nucleotides) under Salmo salar (Atlantic salmon). RNAcentral's name for it is "lncRNA (ENSSSAG00000082973.1)". Lineage: Eukaryota; Metazoa; Chordata; Actinopteri; Salmoniformes; Salmonidae. The record is from RNAcentral.
CUAAAACCCCACAUCGCCCUAAACCCCACGUCGCCGCUAAAACCCCACGUCACCCCUAAACCCCACGUCGCCCCUAAAACCCCACGUCGCCCUUAAAACCCCACGUCGCCCCUAAAACCCCACGUCGCCCUUAAAACCCCACGUCGCCCUUAAAACCCCACGUCGCCCCUAAACCCCACGUCGCCCCUAAAACCCCACGUCGCCAUUAAAACCCCACGUCGCCACUGAACCAAACACAACAAGUCCCCUAUGAAACCAAACAGAGCGUAGCCACUACGGAUGUUGAUGGCAGUCAUCUAUCAUACACUAGAUGAAGGGGGCCCCAUUUUAAUCCAGUCUUAGAAGGCAGCAUGAUUCAUCUGUGCACAGAUAAGCCAAGCAGCUAGCGUUUGAUCACCAGGCGUUGUGUGUGCUCUGCAGACAGCCCAGGUGACCCCACGAUUAGAAAUAGAACUAUGUACCCAUGGGAUUGCUGUUGACCGUUGUUCAAAAAUGUAUCAAUGGGAAAUGUAAGGUUAAUUAAUAUUGUACAUUCCUCUAAUUAUCUUCUUCGAUGAACACUCUGAUCAAUCAAUGGCACAAAUAAUAGAUUUUAUUUCCGUGAAUUGUCAAGUUUGAAAAAAAAAUGACUUUAUUUUCAUGGUUGAAAUAUUUGUAUGAUAGUGUGAGAUUUGUCUAAAUAAUUGUGAUUAUGUGGAUAUAAUGUAGUGUACAAAAUGAAACUCGUUUUUUAAAAAAUGCAAUAGCAGACUUAAACCACAGGGUGGCACUGUUGGCCACCAGAGGAGUACCUGACAGUAUCCGUGUGUUUCCUGCCUCACCCUGAAGACAGUGAUGAUACACACAGAGCACGCUGUGGCUCUUCUAAAAAAAAUACUCUACUACAUUACUCUGAUCUGAAAGAAAUGACAAGGUGGGUGGCUGGAUCCAAUCUGAAUCGACAAAGUAGCGCGGAACAUUCACUUUAUUGCUUGAUUGAAAUUGAAUGGCAACGUUCCCGCAUUCAUGGAGACUGCUGCAUUCACGGCAAACACUGCAUACAUGUAUGUCGGCUCAAUUGGAAAAUGACUCUAAACUUUUAACACAGAUCUGCUGCGAUACUUCCGCGAUGCAGAUUGAAUCCGGAUCUAUGGCAAAGUACUUUCUAAACAGUCCAGAUGAAGGAAAGAUGAUUAUGAGAGAACAGAUUUUUAAGUGACUGAGAAUGAGAUAGAGUCAACGUGUUUCUGGCAGCCAACCCGGAUAUGAUUUAUAAUGUUUGUUACAGGCUUUGACCAACCCAGAUAUGAUUUAUAAUGUUUGUUACAGGCUUUGACCAACCCAGAUAUGAUUUAUAAUGUUUGUUACAGGCUUUGACCAACCCAGAUAUGAUUUAUAAUGUUUGUUACAGGCUUUGACCAACCCAGAUAUGAUUUAUAAUGUUUGUUACAGGCUUUGACCAACCCAGAUAUGAUUUAUAAUGUUUGUUACAGGCUUUGACCAACCCAGAUAUGAUUUAUAAUGUUUGUUACAGGCUUUGGCCAACCCAGAUAUGAUUUAUAAUGUUUGUUACAGGCUUUGACCAACCCAGAUAUGCUGUAUAAUGUUUGUUACAGGCUUUGACCAACCCAGAUAUGCUGUAUAAUGUUUGUUACAGGCUUUGGCCAACCUGUUGUCAUUGCCUGAACAGCAUCUCUGUGUCUGUCUGUUAGCCUUUUGUUAAAGUCGUCUUUAUGGAGACAUUAUGUAGAGUUGCUAUGUAGCCCGUGAGCACUGUACCGCAGGUAGAGACCCUGGAGUUGAACAUCUGAUCAAACAGAAAACCAGCGACAGAACAUGUCUUGUCUGUCUCAGUGGUGCAAAAUUCUGGUUAACUUGAACAAAAUUCCCCAGGUUUUUCAGAAUACGGUUUGGAGGAUUCCCGUAUUGCCUGGUUUUUCUUCACUUCAUUCCGGGGAUUCCCGUAUUGCCUAGUUUUUCUUCACUUCAUGGGGAAAUGUUUCAACCCUAGAAGUGAUAGAUCUCCAAUGGUGGCAGCCAAUACACAAUACCCAGCACAGGAUAUAAAGUCCAGGCACAAACAGAGAACGCCUCUAUAGAUUUCAGUAAAGCACAGCAAUAAAGAGCACAUCUGAAGCACAACUGUGGAAGCACAAAGGAAGUGAGAUAACAGAAUAGAUUAUUUGCAUUGUUACCAACAAAUAGAGCACAGCAUUUACUCAUAGCAUUGUAUUGACUGGUGGAUCACAACCACAGGUUGCUAGGGACUAAAUGGUCAUGUUGGAAGACGAGCAAGCAGAUCUCUUAGCUACAUACCCAUACAGGCUACAGUACGCGUAUGGGCUAAUGUGUACAGCAGCAACUCACAGGUUGUAUGCCAAAUGGCAUUCUGUUCCCUAUAUAAUGCAUUUGGGACGUAAACACAGGAAACCUAAACUCUUUCUCCCUUUAAAAAAGCCAUGCUACGGAUUGUAUAGCACUUAAACAGACUAACAUGGUUCAUUAAUUAAUUAUACUAAAAGAUCAUAGAGGAAAUGAUUACCAAUUAGAGAGCUAGAAUCACUUGAACUAUUAUUGAUGGAAGGAGGCCAGGGAGGGAGGGAGGGAGGAAAAAGAGAGAGAGGGAUAGAAGGAGGUAGAGAGAGAGGAAGAGAGAGACCGGGAGAAAAAGAAGUAGAGAGAGAGAGGAAGAGAGAUUGAGAGAGAGGAAGAGAGAUAAGGGAAAGAGACAGAGAGAAAGACCCAGAGAGAAGGAGGUAGAGAGAGAGUGAAAGAAAGAGAGAGCAAGAGAGAUUGAGAGAGAGGGAGAGAGUUGAGAAAGAGAAAGCAAGAGAGAGGGAGAGAGAUGAGGGUGAGUGAAAGAAAGAGAGAUUGAGAGAGAGGGAGAGAGAUGAGAGAGAUUGAGAGAGGGAGAAAGAGAGAGAUUGAGAGAGAGGGAGAGAGAGAUAGAGGGAGAGAGAUGAGUGAGAGAGAAAGAGAGAUUGAGAGAGAGAGAGAAAGAUUGAGAGAGAGGGAGAGCGAUGAGGGAGAGAGAGAAAGCCCCGGAGAGGAGGUAGAGAGAGAGAGAGAUGAGAGAGAGAGACCCAGAGAGGAGGUAGAGAGAGAGAUGAGAGAGAGACCCAGAGAGAAGGAGGUAGAGAGAGAGAGAGAGAUAUAUACAGAGAGGAACAGUCUAAAAUGAUACAAAAGGCACACAAAGUGGACAGAGACUAGAAGGUGUAUAUUGCACAUUGCCUUUAAUCAUUCAUUUGCCUAAAAUGACGUUAAAUUCCCUAAAUCACUUAUUGAGGUAAUGUGAUGUCAACUCCAGGGCCUGUAUGUAUUAUCACUGUCUCAUUACUGCCUUGUACAAGUACAAUAUAUUCAUCCUGUGUAGACUAACUCAAUUUCUCUCAAAUUACAGUGAUAGUGUAUUUAUAUAACAGUGAUAAUAUGCUUUAUUCUGUGAAAGAUCAAUAACCGAACUACAGUACUUAGUGGGGGAAGUGUAGGAUUCUACAACGUGAUGUUAGCUCACCCUGGUAGUGGUGUAGAUGCACCAUUCACUUCCAUUGAUUGUUAGCUAGCGGUGGCUAAAAGUAGCUAACGUUUGUAGAUUCUGUUUGGAGAAAACCGCUCCGUUAGGUACAGUUUCUCCUGGCCCGUAAUACGAAACCAUUUAACAUCAAACUGUAAAAUCCCCUAACUUCCCCUUUUUUUUCUGUAUAUUUACUCUGUAGAUGUUGAUGUACAUUCUGUCAAAUUGAAAAUGAAUAUAUCUAUCUAUAAAUAUAGUAGGAGUGACAGGGUGAAUACUUGAGCUGUAUAUAAUAAUUGUAUAUUUUUAGAUAUUUCCGAUUUUUCCGAUUUUUGUACGUAAUGUACCCUUAUUGUGUCUGUAGAUUUACGAUGUAAAUAUAUUAUUAGUGUGAGAUUGUUGUUCUCAAUCAAAAUAACUGGAGAGACUGUACCUUGAUGUGUGUGUGUGUGUGUGUGUGUGUGUGUGAGUAUGCGGCGCGUGUGUGUGUGCAUGUGUGAGUAUGCGGCGCGUGUGUGUGUGCAUGUGCGUGUGUGUGUGAGUAUGCGGCGCGUGUGUGUGUGUGCAUGUGCAUAUAUGCGGCAUGUGUGUGUGUGAGUAUGCGGCGCGUGUGUGCGUGUUUGUGUGUGAAUACGUGCGUGCGCGCGUGUGUGUGUACAUGUAGAUGUCAUGUACAUGUUGUUAAAACUAAUUGUGUGUUUCUUGAUUUCCACCUUCAGUGAUUUCAGCUUUACUAACUGUAGUCAAGUAGACGUGAACUCAGUUGUAAUGAUGUUAAGCAACCUAUCAGUGUUAUGUGUCUCUUCAGUUGCUCUUCAGGUCAACUUUCUGACCCCACAGAAACGGCAACAUUAACAUGGUCCCACCCCACCAAAAAAUACUGUGUGACAAUUCAUGAGCAUUAGUACUGUAGAAAUCUAUCUUUUUGUCUUAGACAAAAUGGAAAUAAAAGUUACCACUUGUAUGAACCACGUUAUACAGUGUGUAGGUAGUGUCAUUUAUUUUAUAGUAUAGAUAUUUCAUUUGA